Molecule: transfer RNA, 67 nt
Filed under: Monodonta labio
Lineage: Eukaryota; Metazoa; Mollusca; Gastropoda; Trochida; Trochidae
Description: tRNA-Cys
Source: RNAcentral
CGUUCUAUAGUUGAAAACGCACAACGCCAAAUUGCAAAUUUGAUGGUAGAUGUAUGUCUUAGAAUGU